UAAGGAAUUUUUCACAAUGGGCGCAAGCCUGAUGGAGCGACGCCGCGUGGUGGAUGAAUGGCUUCGGCCCGUAAACCCCUGUCAUUUGCGAUCAACCGUUGUUGUUUAAGAGAUGACAACCUGAUAGUAGCGAAAGAGGAAGGGACGGCUAACUCUGUGCCAGCAGCCGCGGUAAUACAGAGGUCCCAAGCGUUGUUCGGAUUCACUGGCCGUAAAGGGUGCGUAGGUGGCAAGGUAAGUCGGAUGUGAAAUCUCCGAGCUCAGCUCGGAAAUGGCAUUGGAAACUGCUUUGCUCGAGGGUUGGAGGGGGGACUGGAAUACUUGGUGUAGCAGUGAAAUGCGUAGAUAUCAAGUGGAACACCAGUGGCGAAGGCGAGUCCCUGGACAACUCCUGACACUGAGGCACGAAAGCUAGGGGAGCAAACA
This 426-nucleotide ribosomal RNA is filed under the name uncultured prokaryote. Its description in RNAcentral is "bacterial SSU rRNA". It matches the Rfam family "Bacterial small subunit ribosomal RNA", at positions 355 to 774 of the family's 1533-position model. The record is from RNAcentral.